AACUUGUAACAAUGUAUCUCUUGGCUCUGGCAUCGAUGAAGAACGCAGCGAAACGCGAUAUGUAAUGUGAAUUGCAGACUUUAGUGAAUCAUCGAAUCUUUGAACGCACAUUGCGCCCCGUGGUAUUCCGCGGGGCAUACCUGUUCGAGCGUCAUUACAACCUCUCCAGCUCUGCUGGGUCUUGGGGCUUGCCUUCCCGGGCAUCCCUUAAAACUAGAUGCGGCGCCGCGUGGCUCUAAGCGUAGUACUUUUCUCGCUUCUGGGUCCGCUGUGGUGUUUGCUACAUAACCCCAACUUUCUAUGGUUGACCUCGAAUCAGGUAGGGAUACCCGCUGAACUUAAGCAUAUCAAUAAGCGGAGGCU
This 363-nucleotide unclassified non-coding RNA is filed under the name uncultured Leotiaceae. Its description in RNAcentral is "sequence contains ITS2". The stretch from base 1 to 154 matches the Rfam family "5.8S ribosomal RNA". The record is from RNAcentral. Lineage: Eukaryota; Fungi; Ascomycota; Leotiomycetes; Helotiales.